This 332-nucleotide ribosomal RNA is filed under the name uncultured Phaselicystis sp. RNAcentral describes it as "bacterial SSU rRNA". It matches the Rfam family "Bacterial small subunit ribosomal RNA", at positions 568 to 898 of the family's 1533-position model. Lineage: Bacteria; Pseudomonadati; Myxococcota; Polyangiales; Phaselicystidaceae. The record is from RNAcentral.
CGCGUAGGCAGCAGCGUGUGUCGGGCGUGAAAUCCCACGGCUCAACCGUGGAAGUGCACUCGAAACUGCGCAGCUAGAGUCUCGGAGAGGAAGGCGGAAUGCUUGGUGUAGAGGUGAAAUUCGUAGAUAUCAAGCGGAACACCGGUGGCGAAGGCGGCCUUCUGGACGAUGACUGACGCUGAAGCGCGAAAGCGUGGGGAGCAAACAGGAUUAGAUACCCUGGUAGUCCACGCCGUAAACGAUGAGUGCUAGGUGUCACGGGCUUUGACCCUCGUGGUGCCGCAGCUAACGCGUUAAGCACUCCGCCUGGGGAGUACGGCCGCAAGGCUAAA